RNAcentral lists this long non-coding RNA (1027 nucleotides) under Sus scrofa (pig). RNAcentral describes it as "lncRNA (ENSSSCG00005006635.1)". Lineage: Eukaryota; Metazoa; Chordata; Mammalia; Artiodactyla; Suidae. The record is from RNAcentral.
CAGGAGCAACUUUUUGAAGUUCCCAGGCUAGGGGUCCAAUCAGAGCUACAGCUAUGGCCUACACCACAGCCGUGGCAAUGACAGAUCCUCAACCCACUGAGCGAGGCCAGGGAUCAGACCCCCAACCUCAUGGUUCCUAGUUGGAUUUGUUUCCGAUGCGAGCGAAGGGAACUCCAUGUUAAUUUUGUUUGUUGUUUGUUUUUUUGUUUUGCUUUUUGGGGCCAUACUCUUGGCAUGUGGAGGUUCCCAGGCUAGGGGUCCAAUUGGAACUAUAGCUACUGGCCUACGCCACAGCCACACAACGCAGGAUCUGCAUCUUCGACCUGCACCACAGCUCGUGGCAACGCUGGAUCCUUAACCCACUGAGCGAGGCCAGGGGUUGAACCUGAAUCCUCAUGGAUCCUGGUCGGGUUCAUUAACCACUGAGCCACAAAGGGAACUCCAUGUUAAUUUUGCCUUGAUUGAAAUGUUUUUACUAGGCAGCAUUUCCUACUACCAUCAUCAAAGCAGCAUUGCAUUCUAGAAAAACACUGAAGUAAGAUUAAGGAGACUGGGCUCUUAAUUUAAGUUCUGUCACAAGGUAGCAUGUGACUGUGGAUAAGCAAUGUAUUGUCUUUGCGUGUAGAAGAUUACAUUCUAUUAGUGGGAGCUGCAGUUUUUGAGCAGUGCCCUGUACCAGCAAAAGUACACUCUUUACCUCACAACAGUCCUGAAAGUUUCCCCAUUUACAGAUGAGGAAGCAAAGUCCCAGAGGGUAGACAGCUCACCCAUGAUGGCACAGUGGUUAGCAGGUGGUCAGGGCCAGGGCUGCCAUUGACUUCUUUCUGUCUGUUCCUUAGCUUACUUUGAGAUUUAAAUUUACUUUACUCUGAAAAUUCUGAUGCUUUGGAAUCAGAAACCAUGAAACCCUUUCCUACUUGUCUAAUUUGGUCCUCCCCACAGCCCUGUGAAGGGAGUGAUGUCAUCAAUCUCUGGUAUCCUUGAAAUUGACUUUUAACAAUGCCCCUAUCAUUCAUUAUUUUUCUCU